GGAUGUAAGGGAGAUCUGCCUACAACAUUGGUCACCUCACUGAUCACCAGGACUGACUGGGCUGAUCUGGCUGUCUAGGCACGUGUCCCCUUCUUUCUUGACUUCUCCAUGUGAAUUCCUCCCAAAUCUGCACACUGGGUCUAAGAGGAUGAACUAUCUCAAUAGAGGCAGACCAGUCUUCUUUAGUCAAGGGUAUAGCAGUAGCUGCAUUCCCCUGCUAGAAUAUCCAUCCAAACAAGCUCUAAAGGUCAAUUUAAAUGUAGGAGACCUUAAGGUUGUCUAGCUUUCAGGAUUCCAGACACAUCCAAAUGAGGCACUGCAUGUAGCAUUCUGCCUUAA
RNAcentral lists this small nuclear RNA (339 nucleotides) under Neogale vison (American mink). RNAcentral's name for it is "Neovison vison (American mink) 7SK RNA (ENSNVIG00000008281.1)". It matches the Rfam family "7SK RNA". Rfam says of the family: 7SK was discovered as an abundant small nuclear RNA in the mid-70s but a possible function has only recently been suggested. Two independent studies have found that 7SK RNA binds the CDK9/cyclin T complex (known as elongation factor P-TEFb). The record is from RNAcentral. Lineage: Eukaryota; Metazoa; Chordata; Mammalia; Carnivora; Mustelidae.